RNAcentral lists this ribosomal RNA (254 nucleotides) under uncultured bacterium. Its description in RNAcentral is "partial 16S ribosomal RNA". It matches the Rfam family "Bacterial small subunit ribosomal RNA", at positions 524 to 776 of the family's 1533-position model. The record is from RNAcentral.
GACGAACCGUGCAAACGUUAUUCGGAAUCACUGGGCUUAAAGCGCGUGUAGGCGGGCCGGCACGUCGGUCGUUGAAAUCCCCCGGCUCAACCGGGGAAGCGGCGCCGAUACGGCCGGCCUCGAGGGACGUAGGGGGGGCUGGAACUUCCGGUGGAGCGGUGAAAUGCGUUGAGAUCGGAAGGAACGCCCGUGGCGAAGGCGGUUCUCUGGGACGGUACUGACGCUGAGACGCGAAAGCGUGGGGAGCGAACAGG